UAUUGAACGCAUAUUGCGGCCACGGGUCCGUCCUGUGGCCACGCCCGUCUGAGGGUCGGCGACGUUCUACCCAUCGCUGGGAGGCUCUUGCCCAGCGCCUUGAGCUUUCGUAGCGAACUGCCUGUGUGCUCUCGCAGCAGCAGCAGUUUUGGCUCCGUGGCUUCAAAUGCAGACCCGGCCUGGCCGAACUCCUUUGCCUUGCUUUUCUUUGUUGAAAAGUGCUUGCGGGAGAGUCCUCGUGCAAGCAAAGGACAUGGCUUGGAUUUUGAUAUCUCAUGUCUUUGCUAAGGCACCGCGAGCGAGAAAGCAAGAAAGCUGGCAUCACAUUUCCGACCUCAGAUCGGACGAGAUUACCCGCUGAAUUUAAGCAUAUCAC
Molecule: ribosomal RNA, 376 nt
Filed under: Crosseana melanosoma
Lineage: Eukaryota; Metazoa; Mollusca; Gastropoda; Littorinimorpha; Tateidae
Description: eukaryotic LSU rRNA
Source: RNAcentral